UUGGNCGCCGGCGGCAUGCUUUACACAUGCAAGUCGAACGGUAACAGGCCGCAAGGUGCUGACGAGUGGCGAACGGGUGAGUAAUACAUCCGGAACGUGCCCGAUCGUGGGGGAUAACGGAGCGAAAGCUUUGCUAAUACCGCAUACGAUCUACGGAUGAAAGCAGGGGACCGCAAGGCCUUGCGCGGACGGAGCGGCCGAUGGCAGAUUAGGUAGUUGGUGGGAUAAAAGCUUACCAAGCCGACGAUCUGUAGCUGGUCUGAGAGGACGACCAGCCAUACUGGGACUGAGACACGGCCCAGACUCCUACGGGAGGCAGCAGUGGGGAAUUUUGGACAAUGGGCGAAAGCCUGAUCCAGCCAUGCCGCGUGCAGGAUGAAGGCCUUCGGGUUGUAAACUGCUUUUGUACGGAACGAAAAGACUCUGGUUAAUACCUGGGGUCCAUGACGGUACCGUAAGAAUAAGCACCGGCUAACUACGUGCCAGCAGCCGCGGUAAUACGUAGGGUGCAAGCGUUAUCGAAUACUGGGCGUAAGCGUCCCAGCCGUNUAUAAACAAUGGAAUCCCGGCUACUGGACUGAUUGUACUGANCUGAUCGAGAGGGUGAU
This 608-nucleotide ribosomal RNA is filed under the name uncultured bacterium. Its description in RNAcentral is "bacterial SSU rRNA". The stretch from base 2 to 518 matches the Rfam family "Bacterial small subunit ribosomal RNA", at positions 30 to 543 of the family's 1533-position model. The record is from RNAcentral.